Girardinichthys multiradiatus is the source of this 6635-nucleotide long non-coding RNA. RefSeq lists it as uncharacterized. Lineage: Eukaryota; Metazoa; Chordata; Actinopteri; Cyprinodontiformes; Goodeidae. The record is from RefSeq and is a predicted model, not a curated record. The transcript is spliced from 5 exons.
UUCUCUCCUGAUGAGGUCUGCAGACAUCCUUACCUGUUCUUCCUAGCAAGCUGUUUCUCUGAUGUUUUAAAUAGGCAUCAGAGAAAUAAACAACAGAAACUUAAUGAUACCUGAAGAUGAAGAUGUAGAGCACAGAGAGAUUCAGAGGAAGUCCCAGAAUGAAUUCUACAGCCAUCACCCCGGAGAGGACUUCGUACAUGGAGUGAAUCCUCUCUCUGAAGGCACAGAUUUCCUUCUCUCCUUCUUAUCUGAUGUAUUCAACAAUUCCCGUCAGAAAUCCUUGCAGUGAUUGUGGAGCCCAGACAAUUCUUUCCUACCCAUGCCAAAAGAUACCGAGGAAAGACACACAGUAAACUUACAAAAGAAAUCCAAUUCAAGCAUCACUGAGUGGAGGAGAAAAUACCCGGUCAGAGUGUGUGUUCUCUAUUUAUGUGAGGCUGCAACUGAUCCCUUACAGAGGAACAACAUACAUUUCAUCUGGAGGUGUGGUUUAAGGAGAAUGGCUCAACUCACCAAGAAGCAUCAAAGCUCCUUGUUGAGGGAUUUCUUAAGUUUUCAAACUGUAUAAUUCCUGUGCCUAUCUGUCAAAAGGCAACAUGCCAGCACAUUUUAAUUUAUUCCUCUUAUUAAGAAUCACUGAGAAGCACUUUAGGGGAAAUAGGACAUAAUCUUCUGCUGGUAGGCAACUAAAAACAAGCUGGGAGAAAAGUGAGAUUAAAUCUUGCUUUUGAUCCAAAAAAACUACAAUUCUAUAACUUGCUUAAAGUUUCCUGAAGAUGUGAUUAAGACUCUUACAGGAGUGUAUAAGGCCCUGAGUGAGUUAUUUAUGCAGUUUGUUGCUGUUGGAUCGUCUCAAGCCUUUUCUGUGAAGUAUAAAUGGAAGAAUAAUCAGAGGCUCGUUGCUGUAACUUUGAAAUUGUCCAAUGCCUCCACACUUUGGUGCAGGUUUGUUUUUUUGUAUUUACUAUGGUUAUGUUUUUUUUAUAUGUGGAUACCAUUUAAACUAUUUUAGAAAAAGUCUAAAUAAUCUGUGGAAUACCAAUAAAAGAGCAAUUAGGUCUGAAAAAAUUCAACUGAAAAAAUGUAAGCCAGCCAGGCUUUUAAAUCCCCAAUGCAGGUUUGCAACUUCAUUAAGUUUCAUGGACAAUAAGACCUGGCUGUCAUCUCAAUACCAAGAAAAAUGUUUAUGACAUUUCCUGGUCAUUUUGCUCAAGGGGAGCAUUGAAUGGAAAAAUAGAUGUGCAACAAUAUUGGUGCAGAUUAGUCAAACUGGCUUUUAUUUCCCUGUUUGGUGCCCUUGUAAGCAGGCUGCUGAUGGCUUCUCUGCUGCUUCAAAUCUGCUGCUUUUCUUUAUUGCAGAUGGUAUUUGCUAUGACCUUUAAGAUUUGGCUGUGGCACCAACUGUAGUCCCCUAAUCCAGGGAUUUUGGACACCAAUUGAAGACUUACUCAAGUGGGCACAACAAGAGGCUUGCACUCACACAGAAAACGACUACAUCCACCCUCCAAUAACAACUCUAUGACCCCCUCCUCUCUUCCAUCUGACCCCCUACCUGCACUAAAGAAGGAAGAUGUAAAUAGGCUCUUUCAGUGUCGGAAAACCAGGAAAGCUCCAGAACCUGAUGGUAUUUCCCCCUUCUGCCUGAAAGCCUGUGCUGACCACCUGGCUCCCAUCCGUACUAAAAUCUUGAACAGGUCUCUGUAGUUGUGUAAAGUUUCCUUCUGCUUCAACCAUCAUACCGGUCCAUAGCAGGACUAAAUGACCACAGACCUGUUGCCCUGACCUCUGUGGUCAUUAAUUCCUUUGAGCAAAUGGUGUUAAAGCAUCUGAAAGACAUCACAGGCCCCCUGCUGGAACCCCUGCAAUUUGCAUGCGGAGCAAACAGGUCGACAGAUGAUGCAGUCAGCUUGGGACUAUAUUUCAUCCUCCACCAGAAGCUCACCCAGGUCAAGGUGUCAGCUUCUACCUGUCAGUGGAUCACCAGCUUCCUUACUGACCGGUAGCAGCAGGCGAGACUGGAACUCUUCUCCCGCACAAGAACCAUCAACACCGGUGCCUCCCUUCUUUAUGGAUCCCCUGACCUCUUCUUGGAUUAGCAGCCUUCUGGCCUGAAAUAAAGUGUUGUGUCCAAGCCUGCCCUCCCAUUGGCCAGUGUUCCCACCACUGGUCAGGUCUGGUUCUCUGCCUGUUUCUGUUACUCUUCACUUCCAAGCUGUCUGGACAUCAGUGCCAGGCUGGUACACUUCCAACAUGUUUAUUCAUUUUCUGCAAACAUGUGCCAUGCUGGGCUUGUAAAGCCCUGGGAAAUCUCUAAUUGAUGCAACCUCAGGAAAAAAUGUCAUUUAGUAAUUUCUGCUAGCAGGUGAGAAAAUGUUAUGCUCAUUAACAAUUUGGGUUUUUACGAUUUGGUCACAGUGUUCUUGCAAGAACCACAAGUUUUAACUUACAUGGCAGCAUCUGCAGUUCUUGCCUAAAGGAAUAUUUUUAUGUCUUUGGCAUUUCUUCAAAAUUUUCCUCUUAAUUUAGUCCAGUUUUUAUUCAGUCUAUGAAGACUUGAGAUUUUAUGUUAUUUUUCACAUCAGGGUAACUAGAAUUCUGCUCUUACCUCCUUCUUAUUAGUUCUUCAUUUUAGUCAGUCUUUGCACUGCCUGACAUAAAAGAAGUGUCCUUGCUCUGCAGAUCCUAAUGGAUUUGUAAUUUGUCUGGAUUAUAAAGCUUUUACUGCAACAGGAGGUGAACCACAGAAUGCAUUUGUGUUGAAAAGAUGGCAGAUGCACUCGUUCUCAUACUACUUGGUUGAGAUGCCAACAAAUUAGAUUUGCAGCUAAAGAAAAAGAACAAUUUAUUUUUCUUGGUGCAACAAUCAGAUUUUUUUAGAUUUGUUUUGUGUCUCUAGUGGCCUUUAUUUAGUCAUUUUUGAAAGCAGGCAGACAGGAAACGGGAUGAAGAGGGAGAGGAAGACAUGCAGUACAAGUCGCCGUGGCCCGGACUCGGACCAGGGGACAUCUGCGUCGACGGCUGAAGCCUCUGCACGCUCUACCGUAGCGCUGCGCCCUACAAAACUGCUUAUUUAAUGUAUUUCGUAUAUUUUGUAACAUACCAAGUGCAUGGCAUUUAAAGCUCAAAUUACAGUGGACAAGCCUAUUAAAAAAACUAAAGAUUUUUUUCCAUUUUGUUGUCAAAGAGGACAGAACAAAGUAGCACUGAGUAGGCAGCUAGAUGGUACAGAAGUCCAAAUGUGUCUUAACUAACUCACAUUAGGUAAUACUCUACAGAUUAAAUGACAGGUGAUGCCUGGCCUUUGUUCUCAGAGAAGAUCUGAGUGUGGUUUAUCACAAGAGACAAUCAGUUUUUUCUCAAGCUUUAUAGGUUUUUAAGUAUUGUUUGUCAGACUCAUCCUGGUCAUGAAUGUAUUUUAGGACAACUCUGAUCACCUUUGCAAUUGGAAUCCUCUUUCUCCUGUUUUCUCACAUAAAUUCCAAAUAAUUUAACAUUUUUGUCCUCAUUUGCUAAUUUGGACCAGUACUAGACAAGCAGUGAUACCCUUUUGACAUGCUUUCCUAGUCUGGGUUAAAAGGAAGUACACCCUCUUUUAAAUCUAGCAUUUUAUGUGUCUGGAUAUAAAUAUCAUCUGGUUUUCAUCCAGGUUCUAAAACUGUAUAAAUCUCAGUGAAAAAAAAAAACUGAUAAAAGGGAGACCAAACUAAUUCGCCAUGUAGCUUUGGAAAAAGAAAAAGAAAAGAAGGUGGUGUUAAAGUCUAUUAAACCACACUAGGGACGAAGAAGAGUGGAGACUUUUUCCUGCCGAACAGUUUAUUGUGUGGCACCACGUGUAUGGUGGUGAAAAUUGAUCGCAGAUUUUCUCUGAACUUCUGCUUGUAUCUCACUGAAGAAUCCACAUGUGGAGUACUGCAAAGAACUAUUAGUUUUAUUUGUGGUUCAGUGGUGAAAUGUGUAAAAUGCUGAACUUACAGUUCUUAGCAUUGUCUCUGAGCUCAACCAUUAGCAAGUCCAACUGCUUUUCCAAAUUGCAACCUGAACACGAUUAUGUUUGUAUACCAGGUCCAAGUUCUGACUUCCAAGCUAAACGGUACACGGCUUUAGUAGCUGUGGUAUCUGUUAGAUUGUGGAUGUUUUUAUUGGUUUGUACUGGUGCAUUAGGGAGACGUUUGCCUUCAAGGAGUUAGUUUUAGCACUUUUCAUUUAACAUUAGUGGUUCUUCUAAAAUUCUCCUUUCAGAAUCCAAACUGAAGGAGCGUGGUUGACUUAUUAAAACACGUUAGACCAAAUCACAUUUUAAACAGAACGUUCUAUUCAAGUCAAACAUUAAAUUAACCUCCUGCACUAAAACAUGCAGAGCUAAUGAUUUCCAAUUUAAACAUUAAUUUCUGUAAAGCAUCACGCUUACCCUCCCACUUUCCUUCACUUCAUCCUCUGUCACACUAUGUUCUAGAUAUGAGGUAAUAUUGCACGAAACCAGUGUAACAUUACUGCGCAAACACAUACACACAGCCAGGCAUCUGCAGUCCUCCCCCUUGGCAACUGCAACUAGAUAGUCCACCAAAAUGCCAAUUAUCCACAAACCACCCCCAUCUCAUUCCGGUAGGAACGGAAAAUAUUUAAACUAACCCUAACCCAGUUACAAGGAAAUUAUACAGUGUUUGCAGUGGCGAAGGGAAGUAGUUAAACAGAUGUAUUUAGCAGAUAAGUAACCUAAAAUAAAAAUAAAAACAUCCUUAAAGAGGGUAGGAUGCCACGUAAAAGUCGAUCAUCUAACUGGAAAUGUAAAAGCUGUUCUGUGGGAACCAGCUAAAUACUUACAAAUUAACAUCCUUGAUCUUCUUUCUUCCUGUUUUCUCAAAAAAGAUAAAAGGUUGACUGAAGUACAAAAUGAAUCUUACACCAGCCACCCUAUGGAGGAAGUUUCAGACAUAGAGCUCAGAGGCACUGCUCCUGAACAUCGCUAGGUUGUUUUCUGACUCUGAGCAGAGGACACCUAUUGAUGUAUGGAAGGUGAGCUGCACAACGAACUGCGGAGGAGGCGGCCUACAGUCCGACCUGACAGACACGCUUCGCCUUGCCAGUCACUUUGCUGCUGGUACAUCUGAAUUGCCCACUGAUGGACAAUGAAGAUUAUUCUGUGCGUAAACCCUGAGGAAGGUUUUGUCUGCGCACACCUUCUGGGAGAUGGAAAAUGGCAGAGAUUCUCUAUCAGAUUGAAGUUGGGACUUUGGCUGGGCCACUUCCAGUGACAAGAAACAUGUAUCCAUCCAUCGUCCUUCCCUACAUUUUCCUCGUCAGGGUCAUGGGGGAGCGGGGGCCACACAAAUCCACCUUUAAGGAACAUUUAGAGAAAACCACGGGGAGAACAUACCAUCUCCAUGCAGAAAAAAACCCAGGCAAGGAUUUCAACCCAGGACUCUGCAAGUCCAUAGUGCUAAAAUUGAUGUCACCUUAGAAACAUGCUGGUAAACCUUUAUGUGGCAUGGGUAUAAAUAAUUUUUGACUUAACUGUAGCUUUCAUGUGAACAACUGAAUCACUUCUGCUGAGAACUGCUUUACAUCGGUGUUGCCUGGACUUGACCAACUUAUAGCAUCUGUGAACAGGUUAUCCCAGCCUGUUGGAUUAGACUAUUUUUGGUAGUUUCUCUGUAUUUCUUCAGUGUGCCACAAAAAACAGCAAUUUGUAUAUCACCCUACAGAGUUUUUAUUUAAUUAAAGUCCAGGGACAUUAAUGUUGUUGGUCUGGAACCAAGAUGCUGCUUGUUUAUCGACGUGUUUGGGGUCGUCUUCUCGUCGAAACAUCUAAUUUAAGGGCAAUACACCCAUACUACGAUGCUUCACAGUUCUUGAACGUUUGCUGGUCAUCUGACAAACUGUCUGUCUAUGCCCAAGCAGAACAAACUUGCUUUUAUUUGUUAAGAACAUGUUGCACGAGUUCUACCUAGGCCAUUCAGUUGUCUUUUUUUUUGGUUAAAUUGUAAUCUCUUCAGCCCAUGUUGCUAUUCCAACAAUGGGAGUUUGUGGCCUUUUUGCUGAUAGCUUGGCUUUAGAGAGGCGUUUUCUUGUUUUUAGAGGACUCAGACGUAACUGGAGAUCUUUGAUCACCCUGAAUCUGAUCCUUGACUGAGACUGUGUCAUUUUGGUUAUUUUUCACCACACUGCAGCAAUAGUUUUCCCGUUUUGUUUGGUUUUGAUCUCCAUUUUAAGCGCUCGAGAUCAUUUCAGGUGAGCAUCAAUUUGUACACUUCCUCUUAUGUUUCCCCACUCCAAUCAAGUACCCUGUUUUUCUGAGCAAUGACUAAUUGAACUCCACGCUGCUAUUACUUUGAACAAGCCCCAAUGAAUUAAUUAUUCAGUUACACAGAAGCAGCAGCAGCAUGCACAUAAAGACUGUAGGUUCUGUUGGGUCUCUAUUAUCUACUAUGCCUACUAGUGAAUUAUUUUUCAUGUGGAAAUAUAAUCCAUACAAUAAACAGCAACAGAUUUUCUAUACAUAACUGUAUAUUGAAACAUCACCUUUCGUGUGAUGCCUGCAGUUUUGGGAUGGUGAUUGAGGUGUUGCCAUGGCAGCAGUCUGUGAUAGUCUGAGCUAUGAAAAGGAGACCCCCGCCAGUAGAGGUUCCAGUCUUCCU